GGAGGCAGCAGUGGGGAAUAUUGCACAAUGGGCGCAAGCCUGAUGCAGCCAUGCCGCGUGUAUGAAGAAGGCCUUCGGGUUGUAAAGUACUUUCAGCAGUGAGGAAGGUGGGUAUGUUAAUAGCAUACUCAUUUGACGUUAGCUGCAGAAGAAGCACCGGCUAACUCCGUGCCAGCAGCCGCGGUAAUACGGAGGGUGCGAGCGUUAAUCGGAAUUACUGGGCGUAAAGCGCAUGCAGGUGGUUUGUUAAGUCAGAUGUGAAAGCCCGGGGCUCAACCUCGGAAUUGCAUUUGAAACUGGCAAACUAGAGUACUGUAGAGGGGGUAGAAUUUCAGGUGUAGCGGUGAAAUGCGUAGAGAUCUGAAGGAAUACCGGUGGCGAAGGCGGCCCCCUGGACAGAUACUGACACUCAGAUGCGAAAGCGUGGGGAGCAAACAGGAUUAAAUACCCUGGUAG
This 456-nucleotide ribosomal RNA is filed under the name uncultured bacterium. RNAcentral's name for it is "bacterial SSU rRNA". It matches the Rfam family "Bacterial small subunit ribosomal RNA", at positions 344 to 793 of the family's 1533-position model. The record is from RNAcentral.